This 1932-nucleotide ribosomal RNA is filed under the name Triticum aestivum (bread wheat). Its description in RNAcentral is "partial small subunit ribosomal RNA". The record is from RNAcentral. Lineage: Eukaryota; Viridiplantae; Streptophyta; Magnoliopsida; Poales; Poaceae.
AUGUGUAUUUGCAUGCUUGGUGGAGAUAGUUGUUGCUAUUGCCAUGUUUAUCAUGUGCCCCAUGCUAUUGAUGCUAUUUUGCUCAUAUCUUGCCUUUAUGCUUGUGAAAUGUCAUGUGCAUUAUAUAUGCCAACUAUUUGCACACAUGACAUGCUUGCCAUGAUUCCUUCUAGUACGUUGCAUCUUCGCACUACUAGCUUGCUUGACUUGAUCUCUAUGAUUGCUUGCUUUGUUGCAUCACCCAUGUUCCAUUACUCGCUUUCUUGGGUUGAUGACAUAUAUGCUCAUGCCUCUCACAUGAUAUAUCUUGUUUAUUGUCGCUUGCCUCCAAUAAUUGCCUCUAUGCUUAAUGAUCUUGGAGACUUGGACAUAUUACUUGUGAUGCAUGCUUGUUUGUUUAAGCCUAUUGUCUUUGGUUGUAGCUGCAUCUUAUGCUUCCCUACCAUACCACACCUUGCCCUUUCUUAUGAUAAGAAUGAUGAGAACACUUGUUGGGUAUCUUACCACUCGAAUGAUAGGUGCUACAUUUGCACUAACCUCAUUUGUUUUUCCGAGUGUUUGUCAUGUUCUUUCAUUUUGAAGGAUUCACAAGGCGGUACCAUCACGAGACAUAUUGGUUAUGUGAAGGCGUACAUGAUGUGCAACACCAACAUUUUUGACAUCCUCAUAAAGGUGAACUCAUUCCCUUUGAGCCAUUCUCAAAUAUGCAUAUUGCAUGGGUCAUUCUUUCAUUGUUGUUUCCUUCUUGUUGUCUACAUGUUACAUCUCACGAACGAAAGAGCAACAUUGGAGAUUGGCUCUAUGGACCUUCACAUUGAGGAGUGCUCGCACUUAUUGGAUGCACCUUCCAACCUCCACUCAUUCCACGACAUCGAGUAUUGGUACAUCAACACUCCUUUGACACAUUGCACCCCCACCUUCAUAUUUGUUGAUUGUGCUCAUACAUGUCAUGCUCGAUGGACAUAUCAUACCCAUAGCAAAUUUGCAUCUUAUGCAUGGAUUGACUCACAUUAUGAUUGCCUUGUUGCAUCUUGUAUUUCGAUGACAUCCAUGAUAUAUGAGCUUGUACACUUCCUUAGCAAAUUUGUUGUGAUCUUUCUUGAUGGCAUAUUCAUACAUCAUGAUCAUAUUGCCUACCAUCAAUUGCAUGAUAACUUAUUCAUAUUGAGCAUCCAUUGCCAUAUUCAUGCUAUUGAUAAACCGUCUCACUAUCACAUCAUUUUGCAUCGUGGUUGCAUUCAUCAUAUUAACAACACAUUUGUGUGCACAAUGUAUGAUUUUUCUCUCAUGAACGCUUUGCAUAUCAUUCUCUAUCAUCUGGAUAAGCUUCAUAUGUUUUGUCACGAACAAUCUUGCCGCAGGGACUCAUUCUUACAUGAUGGACACUUUGUGUGCGCUAACCAUUGUAUUUCCGAGUGUCGUUUGUGUUUGCUCUCUUUGCAUGUAUACCACUCCGGAGACACCUUGGAGUACUUGGAUUGCGCCAUGACUUCCACUCCGUCCAAUUACAAGUCCGUCCACGACAACCGUUUCCAUGGUGAUGAGGAUUUCGAUCCGAGGUCGGAUCUUUCCCAAGGGAGGGGAGAUAAUGCGGAGCAUCCGACGAUCAUCCCCAUGUACACUCGAGCCUACGCCAUUGGACCUAAGUUUCAUGUGGCAAAUGACGCACGGAGGACAACGGUCACGAGCGCAUUGUCGCAAGCUCAUGGGAGGGAGGCACACAUCUCAUCCAGUGGAAAAGCACGCUCCAAAAAAUCUCUAACCCUCCAUGGAGCCAUUGCUAGGGGGCGAAGAGAUCAACGCCACCCACUAGCCACCCGAGAUGUAGAAGUGCGGAGAUUUCUUGCCUGGCGUACAACAAUGCGUGUUCAAUGGGUCGCCUCUUCUCACGCACAAGUCUCAGAGGGAGACAACGACAGCUAUUCAGAAUAA